Molecule: ribosomal RNA, 261 nt
Filed under: uncultured bacterium
Lineage: Bacteria
Description: partial 16S ribosomal RNA
Rfam family: Bacterial small subunit ribosomal RNA
Source: RNAcentral
CGACCGGCGCACGGGUGAGUAACACGUAUGCAACCUGCCCUCUUCAGGGGGACAACCUUCCGAAAGGGAGGCUAAUCCCGCGUAUAUCGGUUUCGGGCAUCCGAGAUCGAGGAAAGAUUCAUCGGAAGAGGAUGGGCAUGCGGCGCAUUAGCUAGACAGCGGGGUAACGGCCCACCGUGGCGACGAUGCGUAGGGGUUCUGAGAGGAAGGUCCCCCACACUGGUACUGAGACACGGACCAGACUCCUACGGGAGGCAGCAG